RNAcentral lists this non-coding RNA (99 nucleotides) under Weissella oryzae SG25. RNAcentral's name for it is "Enterococcus sRNA 68 (Lacto-3 RNA)". It matches the Rfam family "Enterococcus sRNA 68 (Lacto-3 RNA)". From Rfam's summary of the family: Name 'Ref' stands for RNA in E. faecalis. Also known as Lacto-3 RNA. Lineage: Bacteria; Bacillati; Bacillota; Bacilli; Lactobacillales; Lactobacillaceae. The record is from Rfam by way of RNAcentral.
UGCGAUGAGUCGAGAGAUUUCAAUUUAUUUGAAAUUUUUUAGCCACCUCUCAUUAACGACCGCAUAUGUCGGAGAGGGUAGUUAGUGUUUGUGGAAAUA